Molecule: small RNA, 139 nt
Filed under: Pseudomonas sp. 8AS
Lineage: Bacteria; Pseudomonadati; Pseudomonadota; Gammaproteobacteria; Pseudomonadales; Pseudomonadaceae
Description: Pseudomonas sRNA P11
Rfam family: Pseudomonas sRNA P11
About the family: P11 is located between a putative threonine protein kinase and putative nitrate reductase and appears to be conserved in several Pseudomonas species. P11 has a predicted Rho independent terminator at the 3'end but the function of P11 is unknown.
Source: Rfam by way of RNAcentral
CUUUCGCAAAGUUGGCACGCUGCCUGCUUUAGAGACAUCGACAUUACAUAAAGGCAUCGCCCUCAACGACGAGCGCAGUGCCUCCCGGCAGAUCGGGACAAGGACAAAGGCGUCCUCGCUAGGUAACUAGCGGGACGCC